Molecule: ribosomal RNA, 253 nt
Filed under: uncultured bacterium
Lineage: Bacteria
Description: partial 16S ribosomal RNA
Rfam family: Bacterial small subunit ribosomal RNA
Source: RNAcentral
UACGUAGGUGGCGAGCGUUGUCCGGAUUUACUGGGCGUAAAGAGCGCGCAGGCGGUCGGUCAAGUCGAGUGUGAAAGCCCCCGGCUCAACUGGGGAGGGUCAUUCGAUACUGAUCGACUCGAAGGCAGGAGAGGGUAGUGGAAUUCCCGGUGUAGUGGUGAAAUGCGUAGAUAUCGGGAGGAACACCAGUGGCGAAGGCGACUACCUGGCCUGUUCUUGACGCUGAGGCGCGAAAGCUAGGGGAGCAAACGGG